This is a long non-coding RNA of Manis pentadactyla (Chinese pangolin), 1541 nucleotides long. RefSeq lists it as uncharacterized. The transcript has 3 exons. NCBI's taxonomy places the organism in Eukaryota, Metazoa, Chordata, Mammalia, Pholidota, Manidae. The record is from RefSeq and is a predicted model, not a curated record.
CAUCUCAGCGGGCAUUUCUGAGCCAGGGCUGCCUUUCCUGACCCCAUCCCCUCUCUCCUUCCUUUGUCUCUGCUACCCCCAGUGGACUAUGGGAGUCUGGAGGCAGAACCCACAUAUGGCUGGCUCCUGGUGAAUCCUUGGGGUUGGGAAAGCUGCUUGGCACGCAGCGACCACUCAGGAAGGAGGUGGUGUUCAAGCUGGCCCCGUGCUUCCUGCUAGGCCAGGCCAGCCUUAGGGGAAGACAGAAAGCCCCAGAGAAGAGCAGGUGUCCUGACGCCGAGGCGGGGAUGUCCCCAAGCCCUGUAACGUGCACACUGCAACCCAGAGGCCAGCACACGUCUGCCUCUGAGGUCCUGUUCACAUAUCCAGGUGACCUCGAACCCUCCCUCCCCCUUGCUCCACCCUCAGACCUUGAACACACCAGGCACACCCAUCUCUCUCCUGUCCUGGAACACGUGCCAGUGGCACAGGCGAGAACAGUCGUCUGUCGGCCCCUCCUCUCCACUGGGGCAGAGUGGUGGAUGCUCUGACAAGAAGGUUGCCAGAGGUUGUGGGGACAUUCAGGGACCGAGGGCCAUCGGACUCAGGACCGUGGAAUCUGAACUGUCACAGACGAGGUGCCUGGCGGCUUGCAUGGUUCAGUCUGCUUUGCUUUUCUGGUUUCAGUCUCAAACCUGCCUCUUCCAGACAGCCUUCCUUGCUUACUUCCUUGAUCCAUCAUUCUUAAUCCAUCAGAUACGCUUGGUUUGAAGCAUCCCGUUUCUUUGGCGAAUGGGGGUAUUCGGUACUGUAACUGGGGUGAAUGCCCCCUGACAGUAAGGACCCUCUAGUACACUCUAGAGUCUACCUUGCUUGCCCAUGACCACUGAUAAUGAAAAUAAUAAUGAUGCCAUUUUUUAGAUGUCAUUUAAAAAAAACCAUGCCGAGUGCUUUGUAUUCAAUUAUCUCAUGCAAUCCUGGCAAUGCCCAUAGGAAGUGGACACCAUUACAUAUGGGAAACCGAGGCUGAGAGAACAGAACACAGGGAGCUUGCUGGUGGCCACAGAGGGCCAGCUGCGGCUCAGGCGUUUCCUCUCCUGCGCCCCUGAUGCCUCCCCCACCCUGGCCGCUGGCCUCCUCUGCCUUGUUCACUUCCUCAGGACCUUUCCGGUUCAGCCAGCCUCCGACUUGAUUGGCCCAGCAGGCCGGACUGGGGCAGCGGGUGAGGCUGCCAUUCCAUCAAAGAUGCUCUUACCGGAGAACAGAGACAGGAAAUUUCAGUAGCAGAUGCAACAGAGGCCACGCACAGAGACUGCCCAGGCGAAAACUCUUCAUGCACAAACAGAGGAUGUCUUGCCAGGGGCCGUGCCAGCCUCACCCCAGCUCCAAGGAGGGGGAGGGGCAUCUCCAAUAGACUGUUUCGUCUGCGUUUCUGACCCCCAGACCCACAUGUCCAGGGAGCCAGGCCAUUCCUCUUGUGUCCUGCAGACGUGCAGACCCCUGCAGUAGCUGUUAACCAUCGGGGUAGGCUUGCCUGGCGAAAUCCAGGGCGCCGAGUCAAA